GAUGAAGAACGUAGCGAAAUGCGAUAAGUAGUGUGAAUUGCAGAAUUCAGUGAAUCAUCGAAUCUUUGAACGCACAUUGCGCCCCUUGGUAUUCCAUGGGGCAUGCCUGUUCGAGCGUCAUUUGUACCUUCAAGCUCUGCUUGGUGUUGGGUGUUUGUCUCGCCUCUGCGUGUAGACUCGCCUCAAAACAAUUGGCAGCCGGCGUAUUGAUUUCGGAGCGCAGUACAUCUCGCGCUUUGCACUCAUAACGACGACGUCCAAAAGUACAUUUUUACACUCUUGACCUGGGAUCAGGUAGGGAUACCCGCUGAACUUAAGCAUAUCAAUAAGCGGAGGA
This 337-nucleotide unclassified non-coding RNA is filed under the name soil metagenome. RNAcentral describes it as "partial contains 5.8S ribosomal RNA, internal transcribed spacer 2, and large subunit ribosomal RNA". The stretch from base 1 to 120 matches the Rfam family "5.8S ribosomal RNA", at positions 35 to 154 of the family's 154-position model. The record is from RNAcentral.